This 77-nucleotide transfer RNA is filed under the name Bacilli bacterium. RNAcentral's name for it is "tRNA-Met". It matches the Rfam family "tRNA". From Rfam's summary of the family: Transfer RNA (tRNA) molecules are approximately 80 nucleotides in length. Their secondary structure includes four short double-helical elements and three loops (D, anti-codon, and T loops). Further hydrogen bonds mediate the characteristic L-shaped molecular structure. tRNAs have two regions of fundamental functional importance: the anti-codon, which is responsible for specific mRNA codon recognition, and the 3' end, to which the tRNAs corresponding amino acid is attached (by aminoacyl-tRNA synthetases). tRNAs cope with the degeneracy of the genetic code in two manners: having more than one tRNA (with a specific anti-codon) for a particular amino acid; and 'wobble' base-pairing, i.e. permitting non-standard base-pairing at the 3rd anti-codon position. RNAcentral also lists the same sequence under 3 other names. Lineage: Bacteria; Bacillati; Bacillota; Bacilli. The record is from RNAcentral.
CGCGGGAUGGAGCAGUUUGGUAGCUCGUUGGGCUCAUAACCCGAAGGUCGUUGGUUCAAAUCCAGCUCCCGCAACCA